GGAGCUUGCUCCACCGGAAAAAGAAGAGUGGCGAACGGGUGAGUAACACGUGGGUAACCUGCCCAUCAGAAGGGGAUAACACUUGGAAACAGGUGCUAAUACCGUAUAACAAUCGAAACCGCAUGGUUUUGAUUUGAAAGGCGCUUUCGGGUGUCGCUGAUGGAUGGACCCGCGGUGCAUUAGCUAGUUGGUGAGGUAACGGCUCACCAAGGCCACGAUGCAUAGCCGACCUGAGAGGGUGAUCGGCCACAUUGGGACUGAGACACGGCCCAAACUCCUACGGGAGGCAGCAGUAGGGAAUCUUCGGCAAUGGACGAAAGUCUGACCGAGCAACGCCGCGUGAGUGAAGAAGGUUUUCGGAUCGUAAAACUCUGUUGUUAGAGAAGAACAAGGAUGAGAGUAACUGUUCAUCCCUUGACGGUAUCUAACCAGAAAGCCACGGCUAACUACGUGCCAGCAGCCGCGGUAAUACGUAGGUGGCAAGCGUUGUCCGGAUUUAUUGGGCGUAAAGCGAGCGCAGGCGGUUUCUUAAGUCUGAUGUGAAAGCCCCCGGCUCAACCGGGGAGGGUCAUUGGAAACUGGGAGACUUGAGUGCAGAAGAGGAGAGUGGAAUUCCAUGUGUAGCGGUGAAAUGCGUAGAUAUAUGGAGGAACACCAGUGGCGAAGGCGGCUCUCUGGUCUGUAACUGACGCUGAGGCUCGAAAGCGUGGGGAGCAAACAGGAUUAGAUACCCUGGUAGUCCACGCCGUAAACGAUGAGUGCUAAGUGUUGGAGGGUUUCCGCCCUUCAGUGCUGCAGCUAACGCAUUAAGCACUCCGCCUGGGGAGUACGACCGCAAGGUUGAAACUCAAAGGAAUUGACGGGGGCCCGCACAAGCGGUGGAGCAUGUGGUUUAAUUCGAAGCAACGCGAAGAACCUUACCAGGUCUUGACAUCCUUUGACCACUCUAGAGAUAGAGCUUCCCCUUCGGGGGCAAAGUGACAGGUGGUGCAUGGUUGUCGUCAGCUCGUGUCGUGAGAUGUUGGGUUAAGUCCCGCAACGAGCGCAACCCUUAUUGUUAGUUGCCAUCAUUCAGUUGGGCACUCUAGCAAGACUGCCGGUGACAAACCGGAGGAAGGUGGGGAUGACGUCAAAUCAUCAUGCCCCUUAUGACCUGGGCUACACACGUGCUACAAUGGGAAGUACAACGAGUCGCGAAGUCGCGAGGCUAAGCUAAUCUCUUAAAGCUUCUCUCAGUUCGGAUUGUAGGCUGCAACUCGCCUACAUGAAGCCGGAAUCGCUAGUAAUCGCGGAUCAGCACGCCGCGGUGAAUACGUUCCCGGGCCUUGUACACACCGCCCGUCACACCACGAGAGUUUGUAACACCCGAAGUCGGUGAGGUAACCUUGGAGCCAGC
This 1396-nucleotide ribosomal RNA is filed under the name Enterococcus durans. Its description in RNAcentral is "bacterial SSU rRNA". It matches the Rfam family "Bacterial small subunit ribosomal RNA", at positions 75 to 1453 of the family's 1533-position model. The record is from RNAcentral. Lineage: Bacteria; Bacillati; Bacillota; Bacilli; Lactobacillales; Enterococcaceae.